Wasmannia auropunctata (little fire ant) is the source of this 911-nucleotide long non-coding RNA. RefSeq lists it as uncharacterized. NCBI's taxonomy places the organism in Eukaryota, Metazoa, Arthropoda, Insecta, Hymenoptera, Formicidae. The record is from RefSeq and is a predicted model, not a curated record. The transcript has 2 exons.
CGACGACGCGAGAUCAGCCGGCACUCUUCUUCUUUUUUUUUCUUCUUGGGCCAACACGUUGUGUAAUCUCGUUCCCAGACAACGACGGGAGAGCGACGAGUCGUCGUCGGUUUACUCGUCCUUAUCAUUUCUCCCCUUAUCCAGCUCUCCUCCGUGUCUCCUUCGCACGCGGAUAAGUCUAUACGCUGCGCGAAACGUGCGCGAAAGUUUGAAGCAAGCAGCUUGAAGGCAGGAGGAUGCAAAUGGGAGAGAAGAUGAAGAGAGAAGGUUGCUUGACGUUUUCAACGACGACGUUCCGAGCGAUCGCGGGCCCCGGCAAGAUUCUUCGGCCCAUCGUCCUACUCAUCUCAAAUGGAUAUCAAAUAUGUAUUUAAUACCGCGCAGAGUUUUAGACAUAUGUUAGAUAUAAUGGAAAUUGGAAACAUAGCUGUAUAAUGGAAUAGAUGUUUUAAAUAAUAAUUUUUGCAAUGUAAAGGUCACUUUAGACCUUAUGUACAUUUGUAUCAGAUUCCAGGGUAGAAUUUGUUUCAUAAUUUUAUAUGUCGAGUGUUUUGACAUACAUUUUAUACAUGUGUUUAUUUCUUAUCAUGGGCCGGUUGUUCUAUCUUCGGACAAAUUAUAAUUUAUCUAAUGGAAAAAUGUCCGAUAUAUAGCAUAUGCUCUACAAAUAUUUAUCCAUUAGAUAAAUUACACAUAGUUUAUCCGAAGGUAGAACAAUCAUCCUAAAUGUUUUCCCGCGUACUAUAUACGUAUAAAAUUCUCUCUCUCUCUUUCUCUUUCAAAUCAAUCUUUCAUGACAAAGAUGAUCACAAUUUGAUGCAUGCUCCAUGAUGGACUGUCUUGACAAUAAGAUACUUUCGGUGAUUUGCCUUCCAAGUAAAACAAAAUAAAAUAAAAAAUUAAAUUGAAAA